This 240-nucleotide long non-coding RNA is filed under the name Marmota monax (woodchuck). Lineage: Eukaryota; Metazoa; Chordata; Mammalia; Rodentia; Sciuridae. The record is from RNAcentral.
GGAGAUUCCUGAUUGGUUGACUGCUGUAUCUAGUUUAUGCUAAUUAGAUAAGCUGUGUGGAAUGUAUAAAUACUGCUCCUGUCCUGCAAUAAACGGCUCCUACUCCUGCUGUAUCAACGUACACAAGUUAUUCGUCACCCCCCGGUUAUUUUGCCCAGCCAGCCGGGCAGCGGCAGAUGGUGGCCCGUUACGGGGAGCCCCGGGACAUUCGGGGGUAAGUGACGAAAAAAAAGCUGCCCG